Molecule: transfer RNA, 76 nt
Filed under: Candidatus Omnitrophus magneticus
Lineage: Bacteria; Pseudomonadati; Candidatus Omnitrophota
Rfam family: tRNA
About the family: Transfer RNA (tRNA) molecules are approximately 80 nucleotides in length. Their secondary structure includes four short double-helical elements and three loops (D, anti-codon, and T loops).
Source: Rfam by way of RNAcentral
CGGGACGUAGCGUAGCCCGGUUUAGCGCACUAGUCUGGGGGGCUAGGGGUCGCCGGUUCGAAUCCGGCCGUCCCGA